GGGGACAGGGAUGGGUGUGGGG
RNAcentral lists this microRNA (22 nucleotides) under Saccoglossus kowalevskii. Its description in RNAcentral is "sko-miR-4825-5p". Lineage: Eukaryota; Metazoa; Hemichordata; Enteropneusta; Harrimaniidae. The record is from miRBase by way of RNAcentral.